AACGAACGCUGGCGGCAGGCUUAACACAUGCAAGUCGAGCGCCCCGCCAGGGGAGCGGCAGACGGGUGAGUAACGCGUGGGAACGUACCUUUUGGUUCGGAACAACUCCGGGAAACUGGAGCUAAUACCGGAUAAGCCCUAACGGGGAAAGAUUUAUCGCCGAAAGAUCGGCCCGCGUCUGAUUAGCUAGUUGGUGAGUUAACGGCUCACCGAGGCGACGAUAAGUAGCUGGUCUGAGAGGAUGAUCAGCCACACUGGGACUGAGACACGGCCCAGACUCCUACGGGAGGCAGCAGUGGGGAAUAUUGGACAAUGGGCGCAAGCCUGAUCCAGCCAUGCCGCGUGAGUGAUGAAGGCCUUAGGGUUGUAAAGCUCUUUUGUCCGGGAAGAUAAUGACUGUACCGGAAGAAUAAGCCCCGGCUAACUUCGUG
Molecule: ribosomal RNA, 431 nt
Filed under: uncultured bacterium
Lineage: Bacteria
Description: partial 16S ribosomal RNA
Rfam family: Bacterial small subunit ribosomal RNA
Source: RNAcentral